This 465-nucleotide ribosomal RNA is filed under the name Vreelandella stevensii. RNAcentral describes it as "partial 16S ribosomal RNA". It matches the Rfam family "Bacterial small subunit ribosomal RNA", at positions 338 to 795 of the family's 1533-position model. The record is from RNAcentral. Lineage: Bacteria; Pseudomonadati; Pseudomonadota; Gammaproteobacteria; Oceanospirillales; Halomonadaceae.
CCUACGGGAGGCAGCAGUGGGGAAUAUUGGACAAUGGGGGGAACCCUGAUCCAGCCAUGCCGCGUGUGUGAAGAAGGCCCUCGGGUUGUAAAGCACUUUCAGUGAGGAAGAACGCCUGGUGGUUAAUACCCAUCAGGAAAGACAUCACUCACAGAAGAAGCACCGGCUAACUCCGUGCCAGCAGCCGCGGUAAUACGGAGGGUGCGAGCGUUAAUCGGAAUUACUGGGCGUAAAGCGCGCGUAGGUGGCUUGAUAAGCCGGUUGUGAAAGCCCCGGGCUCAACCUGGGAACGGCAUCCGGAACUGUCAAGCUAGAGUGCAGGAGAGGAAGGUAGAAUUCCCGGUGUAGCGGUGAAAUGCGUAGAGAUCGGGAGGAAUACCAGUGGCGAAGGCGGCCUUCUGGACUGACACUGACACUGAGGUGCGAAAGCGUGGGUAGCAAACAGGAUUAGAUACCCUAGGAGUC